Non-coding RNA from Odocoileus virginianus texanus, 542 nucleotides. Lineage: Eukaryota; Metazoa; Chordata; Mammalia; Artiodactyla; Cervidae. The record is from RefSeq and is a predicted model, not a curated record.
GUGGCUUCCAGAGCAUGCAGGCUCAGUAGUUGAGGCUCGCUGGCUUAGUUGCAAGGCAUAAGGGAUCUUAGUUCUCUGACUUGGAUUAGCCCUCGUCCCUUGUAUUGGAAGACAGAUUCCUAACCAUUGGAUCACCAGGGAAGUCCCAAUAUGGUGCUUGACGUUGACACCUGGUCUCUAGAAUUGAAGGAUUCUUACUUUUGGAGGAUGGAGUACCUUGUCUCCUGAAGGUGUUUGCAAAUUUGCAUCAGGCGGACUCAGACGGUGUUGUUUUCUUCCCACAGCUUGCCUUUCUGGGUGAAGCACAAGGCCAACAUGCUGAAGAGCGAGAUAAGAGAAGUCAAAGAGCUUGAUGACUGGCAGCCAGCGAUCUCCUUGCUACACAGUUUGCUCCCUGCCGGUUCUUUGGACUUUCCAAGACAGUCCUGAACAGAAACAGGUCCAGGAAGCAGGCACCGACUGGCCCCUGGAGAGCCUUUUCCUGUUGAUUGCUUCUGUUAGUGCAACUGUUCUAAAUCAAAUGUUUGACUUGGAUGCAAAAA